GCGUCCGAUUAGCUAGUUGGUGGGGUAGGAGCCUACCAAGGCGGCCAUCGGUAGCUGGUCUGAGAGGAUGAGCAGCCACACUGGGAAUGAGACACGGCCCAGACUCCUACGGGAGGCAGCAGUGGGGAAUUUUCCGCAAUGGGCGAAAGCCUGACGGAGCAAUACCGCGUGAGGGAGGAAGGCUCUUGGGUUGUAAACCUUUUUUCUGGGGGAAGAAGUCCUGACGGUACCCCAGGAAUCAGCAUCGGCUAACUCCGUGCCAGCAGCCGCGGUAAUACGGAGGAUGCAAGCGUUAUCCGGAAUUAUUGGGCGUAAAGCGUCCGCAGGUGGAGCGUCAAGUCUGCUGUCAAAGACCGGAGCUUAACUCCGGGCAGGCAGUGGAAACUAGCGAACUAGAGUACGGUAGGGGUAGAGGGAAUUCCCAGUGUAGCGGUGAAAUGCGUAGAGAUUGGGAAGAACACCAGUGGCGAAGGCGCUUUACUGGGCCGUAACUGACA
This 497-nucleotide ribosomal RNA is filed under the name Chroococcus aphanocapsoides NTRI07. RNAcentral describes it as "bacterial SSU rRNA". It matches the Rfam family "Bacterial small subunit ribosomal RNA", at positions 233 to 745 of the family's 1533-position model. Lineage: Bacteria; Bacillati; Cyanobacteriota; Cyanophyceae; Chroococcales; Chroococcaceae. The record is from RNAcentral.